AAAAGGCCCGCCCACCUGGAAGGCCUGCGCCAGGCUGAGGCCGCGGUGCCGCAUGAGGUAGGCGGUGCAGACGGCGGCCGAGCGGCUGCGGCCGUUCUUGCAGUAGACUAGGCAGGCGCCGCCGGCGCGCACCGCGGCCUCCAUGGCGGCGCACGUGGGCUCCAGGUGCGCCAGCAGGUCCUCAGCCGGGUCGUCGAACACGGGCACGCGCAGCUCUGCCACGCCGGGAGCGCGCGGGCUGGGCUGCUUGUGGGAGACGUUGACGCACAGCGUGACUCCCGCUCGUGCCAGCUGCUCCUCCGCGCCCGCGGCUCGCGCGCUCCCGAGGAAUAGUGCGGGCGCGACGCGCACGAACGGCGGAGACUCACUGCCACAACGACAUUGUGGACCUUCUCCUGGACUGUGGGGCCGAUGUGAACAAGUGCUCAGACGAGGGCCUCACAGCACUCAGCAUGUGUUUCCUCCUCUACUACCCCGCCCAGUCAUUCAAGCCCAAUGUUGCUGAACGGACCGUACCUGAGCCCCAGGAAUCUCCAAAAUUCCCAGUUGUUCCAAUCCUUUCAUCAUCAUUUAUGGACACAAACCUGGAGUCUCUGUACUAUGAGGUGAACGUGCCUUCCCAGGGUAGCUAUGAGCUGAGGCCACCGCCAACACCACCGGCACUGCCACACAUCUCGGGCAGCCAGGAGGGCGGCCACUCCCAGGACACCGGGCAGUGUGGGGAGUCCAUGGACCACAGGAGCAGCUCUCUGAAGGGGGACUCCCCGUUGGUGAAGGGCAGCCUUGGCCAUGUGGAAAGUGGGCUCGAGGACGUGCUGGGAAACACAGACCGGGGCAGUCUGUGCAGUCUUGAGACGAACUUUGAGUCCAAUGUGUGUGUGUGCAACUUCUCCAUCGAGCUCUCGCAGGCCAUGCUGGAGAGAAGCGCCCAGUCCCACAGCUUGCUGAAGAUGGCCUCACCCUCACUGUGUACCAGCAGCUUCGACAAAGGGACCAUGCGGAGGAUGGCGCUGUCCAUGAUCGAGUAGGUCCUGGCACCAGCUGGUGGGGGUGGAGGGCCACCAUCAGGGCUGAAUCCUAUGCUCAGCAGACCCGCGUCUCUUCCCUGUGCCAGCGGGAGGUGUUGUGUCUGGAGAUGUGUGUCUGAAUGUGUGAGCAUCCCUGUGUCGGUGGCUCCACGCCAUGGCCUGCUUUGGCCUUUGGCACUGGCCUGAAGUGUCUCUGUGGGAGCCUCAGCAGGGGCCACUGUCAGGGGUCCUAUCCUAGCCAUGGUGCAUGUGAGUGACACCUGCCUGGGCAGCUCACACACCCCUGCUGCCCACCCUGUCUAUACCAGUGUGUCUCAAAAUGUGGUCCAUGCACCCCUGGGGGUCCAAGACCCUUUCAGAGAGUCUGUGGGGUCAAAAUGAUUCUCUUGAUAACCCUGAGACUCUCUUAGCCUUCUCCUUGUGUUGACGUUGGUGGAUGGUAUGAAGACAGGGUCGUGCAGACCGCCAGCCCCCAGCCUGCAGGGCAGCAGUGCCUGGCCUGCUUGGGGGCAUGGUAUUCCUUUACCACGGUGCGCACUUGCGGGGAUGCCUGUCUCACUGAAGAAUGCCUUUGACAAAGCAGAAAAGCAAUGACCAAUUGCAUUAAAUCUUGCUCCUUGCGUACACACCCCUCGAAUAUUCUGGGUCGGAAAACAUGGGAAGGACACUGAUGUGCGUCUGCCACAGACCAAGGCACACCGCUUCUCUGCAAGAAGCACUUACCCCAGGGCCGGAGUAGCAAAGAGAAUGCGGCACCUUCCCAACCUCCUGAUCCAUUUUUGAUCGGAAGAAUGACCACUGGUACGUGGCUGUUCAUUCUCCUGAACACAGCCUGCCGCUUUAAGGAAAACAUAUGACACUAUUUGUUGCUGGUGAAAUUUACGUUUUCAAGUGAAUAGCAGAAUUCUGGACACUUGGCCGCCACCACCAAGACCUUCAUAGCUUCCCUUAACUUUGAGACGUGGGUGUUCAGAGGUUUUUCACAUGAGAUGGCGUUAGCAGCGCAGUUUUCUGAUACUGCCUGAUGACAUGCCGACAGUGCUCAGAUCUCUUCUGUUGGUGAGCCAGCUUUCCCCACACGGCCAAGUUCUGAUGUGGAACCAUCGCGAGGUGGGUGAAGAUCCAUUGACGGUGAGAGGUGGGCCCGUGGGCUUCAGUGCAGCCAGGCGCAGAAGGCUGGUCCAUGAGUGUAUAGCUCCGCCAGGUAGCUAGCUCACCGCCCCCAGCCUGGGUUCAUGUAGUUCAAAUAGGAAGACCACGAUGAUCAGAAAGGCUGCUCAAAUACUCCUUCGUCCAGCUGCGUACCUGGGGGAGGCUGAGUCUCCACUCACUUCCACCAAGGCUGCGCAGAGCAGAUAGGGGAAUCCAGCGAAGGUGGAAAGCAGUGCCAUCCUUCUCCCCAACUGGUUUUGUUUUGUAAAAUAACUUUUUGUGACAGUGUUACUUACUAGUAACAUGCAGUGGGUUUGUUAUGGUUAACAAUUUGGUGAGCAUUAUUAAGAGGUGAAGCCAGCUGAGCUGCUGGGUUGGGUGGGCACUUGGAGAACUUUUGUGUCUAGCUAAAGGAUUGUAAAUGCAUCAAUCAGCACUCUGUAAAAUUGACCAAUCAGCGUUCUGUAAAAUUGACCAAUCAACGUUCUGUAAAAUGGACCAGUCAGCAGGAUGUGGGCGGGGCCAAAAAAGGGAAUAAAAGCUGGCCACCGCCAGCCCCCACACCAGCCUACAGCAGCAGCCUGCAGCAGCAACCUGCUUAGUUCCACUUCCACACUGUGGAAGCUUUGUUCUUUCACUCUUCUCAAUAAAUCUUGCUGCUGCUC
RNAcentral lists this small RNA (2845 nucleotides) under Pongo abelii (Sumatran orangutan). RNAcentral describes it as "retained intron". The record is from RNAcentral. Lineage: Eukaryota; Metazoa; Chordata; Mammalia; Primates; Hominidae.